RNAcentral lists this ribosomal RNA (500 nucleotides) under Staphylococcus aureus. Its description in RNAcentral is "bacterial SSU rRNA". It matches the Rfam family "Bacterial small subunit ribosomal RNA", at positions 320 to 811 of the family's 1533-position model. The record is from RNAcentral. Lineage: Bacteria; Bacillati; Bacillota; Bacilli; Caryophanales; Staphylococcaceae.
UGAGACACGGUCCAGACUCCUACGGGAGGCAGCAGUAGGGGAAUCUUCCGCAAUGGGCGAAAGCCUGACGGAGCAACGCCGCGUGAGUGAUGAAGGUCUUCGGAUCGUAAAACUCUGUUAUUAGGGAAGAACAUAUGUGUAAGUAACUGUGCACAUCUUGACGGUACCUAAUCAGAAAGCCACGGCUAACUACGUGCCAGCAGCCGCGGUAAUACGUAGGUGGCAAGCGUUAUCCGGAAUUAUUGGGCGUAAAGCGCGCGUAGGCGGUUUUUUAAGUCUGAUGUGAAAGCCCACGGCUCAACCGUGGAGGGUCAUUGGAAACUGGAAAACUUGAGUGCAGAAGAGGAAAGUGGAAUUCCAUGUGUAGCGGUGAAAUGCGCAGAGAUAUGGAGGAACACCAGUGGCGAAGGCGACUUUCUGGUCUGUAACUGACGCUGAUGUGCGAAAGCGUGGGGAUCAAACAGGAUUAGAUACCCUGGUAGUCCACGCCGUAAACGAUG